This 74-nucleotide transfer RNA is filed under the name Bacteroidales bacterium. RNAcentral's name for it is "tRNA-Met". It matches the Rfam family "tRNA". From Rfam's summary of the family: Transfer RNA (tRNA) molecules are approximately 80 nucleotides in length. Their secondary structure includes four short double-helical elements and three loops (D, anti-codon, and T loops). Further hydrogen bonds mediate the characteristic L-shaped molecular structure. tRNAs have two regions of fundamental functional importance: the anti-codon, which is responsible for specific mRNA codon recognition, and the 3' end, to which the tRNAs corresponding amino acid is attached (by aminoacyl-tRNA synthetases). tRNAs cope with the degeneracy of the genetic code in two manners: having more than one tRNA (with a specific anti-codon) for a particular amino acid; and 'wobble' base-pairing, i.e. permitting non-standard base-pairing at the 3rd anti-codon position. RNAcentral also lists the same sequence under 2 other names. Lineage: Bacteria; Pseudomonadati; Bacteroidota; Bacteroidia; Bacteroidales. The record is from RNAcentral.
GGCGAGAUAGCUCAGUUGGUUAGAGCGUCGGAUUCAUAAUCCGGAGGUCGUGGGAUCAUGGCCCACUCUCGCUA